UGAGAGAAUCUGGCCCUGGAGCACCGUGGCAGAUUCAGCAGAGCACAGAGGAGGCCAGGCUCCUCCUCAACUAGGUGAAACCAGCUUCCCCGCCAACACGGCACCAGCCCUGGGGAGGGAACAGUGCCCGGAGGAGUUGCAGGGAUGUUAGUGGACAUCUGCCAUGUGCCCUGUGUGCCACUGGGAGGCAUGGGUGGAGAUCAGGUUCCAGGCACACCUCUGGGACAUACCACAGGGCCAAGCUUUUGCAGGUCAGGGGCAGAGAAGUGAGACUGAUUUCUGCCAGGACACCUGCGAACAGAUACCAGCUGCCUGGAGUCUGUCAGUUGCUGAGGAGGCAUAGGAAGAAACUAGUUCACCCAUGUCUCUCUUACACACAGGUUAAAAUCAACCUGUCAAAUCUCAUGAAAAACCUGGUGAAGUUUUGUUGGAAUUGUAUUAUACUGGAUGAUCAAUUUGGAGAGAUUUGACAGCUCCAGAAUAUGAAGAAUUUCUGGCUACAAAUAUGAUCCUGAAUUCCAGUGGAAUGGCUGAUACCAAGCAGCAUGAAGACCCCCCCAGAGGAGCACUAUCAGCAUGAAGACCCCUGCAGAGGAGCCUAAUCAGGAUGAGAAUGAGGCUUUGUAUGUGUACCAUCAAUCAAUAAUUGGAGGCUGACUGCCCUGGAAAAGCUGGGACUUGCACUGAAAAUUGGGGCCUGAUUCAUAUGCAGGAGAUGGGAUACAGAAGCUGAAGUUCAUGCGUAGGAGCCUAUAUAUCCUUCUCAGAAAGAAGGUGGGACAUCACAGAACUUUUUCACGAAAGUUGUUCUUUGCCUAUUCUAACUACUGAACAGAACCAUCAGUGAAGACUCCAUAGAACAUGAAUAUAAUGAUUAUGGCAUAGGAAAUUUUAAGUAGUUAUUUUCAUGUGCCGGACACCACAGGAAGAUCUCAAUGAUGCUUCUACUGACAGUCUAAUUUUGAAGGACACCAUGUCACUUCCUGCUGGAAUGAACUCAUGGCUGACCAUGAGCAUCUCUAGGUAACUAAACAAGCCUGCAUUUUGGAGCUAGUGAACAUAGACCCAUGGAAUUUGGAAGACAGCUGUGAAAAUGCUGCCUUGGCCUUAGAAUUGCUGGUUUUGAUAUUUUUUUAAGGCACAUGUUAGGGUGCAGGUUUUUCUACUUAAUGACAACAAGAACAUAUUUUCAACAUGCAAACACCCAGGUUUCUGUGGCAGGGACAUCAUGAUAACGUUCCAGAUAUUAAGAUAUUUGUUAUGAAAGAAGAGCAGGAUCCCGGCCCUGCUUUCUUCAUCCCAGGUGUGAGGGGGCCAUCAGCUGCUUUGUAGCCUCCAUUCCAGGAUGCAGGCUGCCCUUAACUCUUGGGUCUCCAUGCUUACAGAGGCAGCAAUAACUAGGUGCCUCUUGUAACACUGUUUGGUUUAACCUGGACACAGAGACAAAAGACAAGAAAGGAUCGAUUGCAGCUACACAAAGUGUUUCUUUAGUUGUAACAAACUUUUCAGUAGGAUGUUAGGAAACUUGGGUGGGGCUCUCUCCCAGCACACUGGGAAGCCUUGGAGGGUUUCAAAUGGGAAAACAGUAGGACUCUUGUUUUUCAAAAAGCGUUCUUGCUGCUAGGUGAAGAAUGAAUAUGGUGGGGGCAAGGUCUCUAAUACUACGUAAGAGUGGCUUCCAGGUCCCAGAAUGAGAAGUAUCUAGGGUUUUUAUAAAAUUUGAGGCUGCUUUAUUAAGACAGAGCUGGAAGAAAUGUCUCAGGGGGUCACUAGGGGUAAAGGAAUGUAUCAGAGUCAUAGUAUUCACAACUUUUUUUUUUUUUUUGAUGGAGUCUCGCUGUCGCCCAGGCUGGAGUGCAAUGCUGCAG
RNAcentral lists this long non-coding RNA (1868 nucleotides) under Homo sapiens (human). RNAcentral's name for it is "HSALNT0400285". Lineage: Eukaryota; Metazoa; Chordata; Mammalia; Primates; Hominidae. The record is from RNAcentral.